UGCCUCAUACAUGCAAGUCGAACGGGAUCUUCGGAUCUAGUGGCGCACGGGUGAGUAACAUGUGGGAAUCUACCUGAAGGUUCGGAAUAACUGCGGGAAACUGUAGCUAAUACCGGAUGUGUCUGCAAAGAAAAAGAUUUAUCGCCUUCAGAUGAGCCCGCACUAGAUUAGCUAGUUGGUGAGGUAACUGCUCCACCAAGGCUACGAUCUAUAGCUGAUUUGAGAGGAUGAUCAGCCACACUGGGACUGAGACACGGCCCAGACUCCUACGGGAGGCAGCAGUAGGGAAUAUUGGACAAUGGGGGAAACCCUGAUCCAGCAAUGCCGCGUGAGUGAAGAAGGCCUUAGGGUUGUAAAACUCUUUCAUCAACGAUGAUAAUGACAUUAAUUGAAGAAGAAGCUCCGGCUAACUUCGUGCCAGCAGCCGCGGUAAUACGAAGGGGGCUAGCGUUGUUCGGAAUCACUGGGCGUAAAGCGUAUGUAGGCGGAUCAAAAAGUUAGAUGUGAAAUCCCUGGGCUCAACCCAGGAACUGCAUUUAAAACUAGUGAUCUAGAAAUUGGUAAGGGUUAGUAGAAUUUCCAGUGUAGAGGUGAAAUUCGUAGAUAUUGGAAAGAAUACCAGAAGCGAAGGCGACUAACUAGGCCAUUUUUGACGCUGAGAUACGAAAGCGUGGGUAGCAAACAGGAUUAGAUACCCUGGUAGUCCACGCAGUAAACGAUGAGUGCUAGUCGCUGGGACAUUAGUUUCAGUGUCGAAGCUAACGCAUUAAGCACUCCGCCUGGGAAGUACGGU
RNAcentral lists this ribosomal RNA (793 nucleotides) under uncultured Alphaproteobacteria bacterium. RNAcentral's name for it is "bacterial SSU rRNA". It matches the Rfam family "Bacterial small subunit ribosomal RNA", at positions 45 to 886 of the family's 1533-position model. Lineage: Bacteria; Pseudomonadati; Pseudomonadota; Alphaproteobacteria. The record is from RNAcentral.